Molecule: ribosomal RNA, 948 nt
Filed under: Aeromicrobium sp. PVC5
Lineage: Bacteria; Bacillati; Actinomycetota; Actinomycetes; Propionibacteriales; Nocardioidaceae
Description: bacterial SSU rRNA
Rfam family: Bacterial small subunit ribosomal RNA
Source: RNAcentral
CUAGGUCGAGCGUUGUCGGAAUUAUUGGGCGUAAAGGGCUCGUAGGCGGUUUGUCACGUCGGAAGUGAAAACUCAGGGCUCAACCCUGAGCGUGCUUACGAUACGGGCAAACUAGAGGUAUGCAGGGGAGAACGGAAUUCCUGGUGUAGCGGUGGAAUGCGCAGAUAUCAGGAGGAACACCGGUGGCGAAGGCGGUUCUCUGGGCAUUACCUGACGCUGAGGAGCGAAAGCAUGGGGAGCGAACAGGAUUAGAUACCCUGGUAGUCCAUGCCGUAAACGUUGGGCGCUAGGUGUGGGGACCUUCCACGGUCUCCGUGCCGCAGCUAACGCAUUAAGCGCCCCGCCUGGGGAGUACGGCCGCAAGGCUAAAACUCAAAGGAAUUGACGGGGGCCCGCACAAGCGGCGGAGCAUGCUGAUUAAUUCGAUGCAACGCGAAGAACCUUACCUGGGUUUGACAUAUGCCGGAAAGCCGUAGAGAUACGGCCCCCCUUGUGGUCGGUAUACAGGUGGUGCAUGGCUGUCGUCAGCUCGUGUCGUGAGAUGUUGGGUUAAGUCCCGCAACGAGCGCAACCCUCGUCCUAUGUUGCCAGCACGUAAUGGUGGGGACUCAUAGGAGACUGCCGGGGUCAACUCGGAGGAAGGUGGGGAUGACGUCAAGUCUUCAUGCCCCUUAUGUCCAGGGCUUCAAGCAUGCUACAAUGGCCGGUACAAAGGGCUGCGAAACCGCGAGGUGGAGCGAAUCCCAAAAAGCCGGUCUCAGUUCGGAUUGGGGUCUGCAACUCGACCCCAUGAAGUCGGAGUCGCUAGUAAUCGCAGAUCAGCAACGCUGCGGUGAAUACGUUCCCGGGCCUUGUACACACCGCCCGUCACGUCAUGAAAGUCGGCAACACCCGAAGCCGGUGGCCCAACCCUUGUGGAGGGAGCCGUCGAAGGUGGGCGGCGAUGAA